UCCGUAGGGUGCCAGCGUUGUCCGGAAUUAUUGGGCGUCAAGAGCUCGUAGGCGGUCUGUCGAGUCUGCUGUGAAAACUCAGGGCUUAACCCUGAGCUUGCAGUGGGUACGGGCAGACUAGAGUGCGGUAGGGGAGACUGGAAUUCCUGGUGUAGCGGUGAAAUGCGCAGAUAUCUGGAGGAACACCGGUGGCGAAGGCGGCAUCCUGGACCGGCAUUGACGCUGAGGCGCGAAAGCGUGGGGAGCAAACAGG
RNAcentral lists this ribosomal RNA (253 nucleotides) under uncultured bacterium. RNAcentral's name for it is "partial 16S ribosomal RNA". It matches the Rfam family "Bacterial small subunit ribosomal RNA", at positions 524 to 776 of the family's 1533-position model. The record is from RNAcentral.